Molecule: RNA transcript, 7874 nt
Organism: Piliocolobus tephrosceles (Ugandan red Colobus)
Lineage: Eukaryota; Metazoa; Chordata; Mammalia; Primates; Cercopithecidae
Exons: 1
Source: RefSeq, a predicted model, not a curated record
UGGUCUCGAACUCCUGACCUCAGGUGAUCCGCCCGCCUCAGCCUCCCAAAGUGCUGGGAUUACAGGCAUGAGCUACCAUGCCUGGCCAUUUUUUUUUUUUUUUUAACAGCUUUAUGAUAAGCUAUAGGCUUAUAAUUCUGCUCCUCCAAACAAUACUUUUCUCUGGAAAACAAGCCCUGUGGACGCUCCAUCCUUCCAUCAAGUUCCUUCCCUCAAGUUGCUUCAGUUUAAUUUAUUUCUACAGGACCAGUACAUGCAGAAGGCAACUACAGGGGAUGAAAAGUUCAAAAAGUAGAUUCUACAACCCUAUGGCUUGGUAUCCAAAUAUCUGGAGAAGUAUGUGAGUUCAUGGAAGAAGAGAAAGCACACUUUUCUCCAGAUAUCUGGAAACCAAGCCAUAGGGCCGUUCUCUGCAGGCGACCAUCUUACUGGAAAAUCAGGGGCUGAGCAAGCCCAGGCAGCCGUGCACAGAUAUCCAGUCCUGGAAGUCAGAGCUGUGGUGCGGGGGCUUGCCAGGUUCCUACUCUCCCAUGUCACAGGUGAGAAAGCUGAGGCCCGGAACGGGGAAGAAACUGAUCCAUGGCCACACAGUGAGAGGCAGCAAGGCCAGAGCCCACCUGGCCGCCACGGCCCUCAGGCAGUGCCCUGCUCACUGUGGGGUGACCCCUGCGUGUCGGCAACUACAGGAAAAAAACAGCCACCGGGCAUAUGUGCAGCCUGUCACAUAUACCACAUAUUGGGGAAGGAGAAGCUGGAACAUGUGGUCGGGGGUGGGGAUAUCUACCUAUAUUUUUUAAAUUUUGAUAAUGAUGCCAUCAAGUCUGCUUGUCUGCAUAACUGUUUUUUAAAAAAGAAUUGAUAUUUUCAGUACUUUCUUAUAAAUAUACUUGUAAUAUGAUGUAACAGCCCAGUUACUGGUGCUUCCAAGCGCAAAUGCAAUCUCCUUUGCUUGAAGGAGAGCCAGGUGAUUGUUCUUAUGGCUUUAGUUUCUAGCCUCUUUAACAGCCAUGCAGAGCUUUCAGGUGCUGCUUGAAAAGGUGGUGCUGUGGCACGUGUGUGUAUGUGUGUGUGUGUCUUGUUCACCUGUCUCCAAAAUGAAAGGGGUCUUAGAGUUGAGAAGAAUUGGUACUGUCAUGGCCCAACACAGGGUGUGUGUGUGCGUGUGUGUGUGUGUCAGAGAGAGAGAGAGAGGAGGGCAGGGGAGGAGGGAGAGAGAACCACCCGUGGGUCGGUUGAUGAAUUGGUUAUCCCUGCUUACCUGUCCGCCCCACCCUUUUCUUAACCCAUUUUCUGUCUGUGGCAAGGCACAUGCAGCACCCAGAGGGUGUUUAAAAAGAAGAGCUGGGAGUGAGUGGGAUGGACAGGUACUGACAGCACAUAAAGCCAGGACCCUGGGAGGUGCUCAGUGGUGGCAGGACAGAGGGAACACUGACAAGGGAGACAAUGUGCUCCCUUUGGUGCUCGUGGAUGCGUGACCCCCUUGGGUGGCACUUUGCAGCCUCGCUUUGUGUAAUUCCCCCACAGACACCUGCCCCCAGGGUCUGACACUAUUUUACCCCCAUGUUUGAGGUGGAACACUGAGGCUUAAAGAUAUAAAGACCCUUGCUCAUGCUGAAGUGGGUCCAAACCCACAAUAUGGAGCAAUGAGGACCCCAAAGCCCAGGCUGGAGGGGGGCUUGAGGCUGCUUCUACCAGUUUGUAGUCUCUGUAGCCUCUGGGAAUGGAGUUCCCUGGGCAAGCAGGCAGAACUCUGCCCAUCAGCUUGCCUGGGACAUGGCCAGAGUGGAGCAUCCAUAUGUUUCCCUGAGGGACUGGCCCUCAGCUCUGAGAUGAGUCGCCACCAGCAGCACAUUCCCCUGGGCCAUCUAUCGUUAUCUUCACGUGCUCACCUGGAAGAUGAGCCCCUCUAAUGUCUCACAAUGAGGUCCUCAGUCAUGAAUGAUGGAACUCCACACCCCCAAUGCCCAGCACAGGAUAAGAGCUUCGGCUGUGGUUUGUUGAAUUACAUUAAAAACCCCAAGGCAAAUGUGUUUCCUGACACCCAACUCCCUUCCAGAGGAAAUGGGUCAUAGAUGACCUGACCCAAUUCCAUCUCUCAGGCCCCGUUUGCCUCGGGCAGGUGGCUGGAGUUCCCUGCAGGGACCAGGGGUUCAAAGAUGCUUGUCUCCGGGCAGCUUCAGGGGAAGGAAGCUGGGGACCCUCUGCAGCCUGGGGGCCACAGAGAAUGACAGGCAGAGGGCAGAAAAAGGCCUGAAGGUGGGCAGUUUGUGCUAACUGGGGGUUCCCUAAUGGAUUUUACUGCUGGCAAACUGGGACCGGUGGCAUCAUCCUGCCCUGCUUUGCAGGGGAUGGGAGGCUGGGGCUGCCCACAGUUAGGGAGUAAAGAGGGGAUCUUAACUCUUCCAUUAGACUGGAGCCAGGCCUGACUGGGAGGCUGGGGGGCUUUGCAUAAGCUUUGGGGACCUGCACUUUAUGCUGGUCUGGCUGGAGAGGGCAGACAGGGAAGUAGGCCAGAGGGAGUCAAAGGCAAGAGGUGAUGUCGCGCUUGAUGCACUGAACUGUGUGCUUAAAAGUGGUUAAGAUGCUAAAUUUUAUGUUAUGUUUAUUUUACCACAAUUUGAGGAUGAGAGGAGAAAGAGAGAGAGAGAGCAAAAGAGACAGAGAGAGAGAGAGAAGAGAGAGAAAAGGAGGGAGGGAGGGAGGGAAGGAUAGUGAGAGAGAAGAAGAGAAUGGGAAUGGCAGGCUGUACCUUCCUGAUUCCCAACUUUCCUCCAAGGACAAGCACAAGUGGCCAGCUUUCACUGACCACAGGCGAGUGAAACAAACGAGGGAACGCCUUGAGUUUUUCUUUCUAUAGGAUUUAUUUCACCCAAAUGCUGACUCUUCAUUCUAGGAUUAUGUUCUUCCUGCUUCAAGGGUGCUCAAUGGCCUUUAGGAAAUGAGGAAUGGGUAAAGGUGGCUCUAUCUUCUUUGAUGGUUUCUAUUGUGUUUUGGGAGCCCUCAUUGGACAAAAUAAAAAGUGGCCAACUCUAUGUUGGUUUUGCUCCCAAUACAGUAUUCUUCCUGAAAAAACAUGCCGUCUGAAAGUUUGGGAACCCGGGAGAUGGUUGGGAGAAGACAGCAGCUUGAGGAUUGCUUAGUGCAGGAGUCCCCGCGGGAGAGAAGAAAAGAGAAAUGGGAAGAGGGACAUUGCGGAAAUUUGUGUCAACUGGGCUCAGGGGAGGCCAGGAGCCUGCCAGCUGUGGCCCUCCCACAAAAAAAAAAAAAAACCCAGGUGCUCACUGGCCCUGCCUUCCCACUAGCCAUUUGGAUACUGUCCAGGGUCUGCAGCUUUCUCUCUUCUGGUUGGUGGGCAGACGUGCCCUGUGCCUCUUUGCAUCUUAAUCCAAUGCAACAAGCAUUCUCCAGCCUGUGUCAGGCUUUGUGCCGGGAGAUUUGGAGUGAGCAAAGCCCAGUCCCUGCCCUCAGGGCGCUUGCAGAUGAAGAAAAGGGUUUGUGCCAUUGAAGAUGCCCAUCUGGAUUGCGGUCAUUGUCCUUGACUUUGCCUAUCUGCCUCUCCAGAGGGGGCAGGCCCACUUCACAGAAACUGGAAGAGUCACACGGGGGAGACAGUGGGAGAGCUCAGGACAGGGCAUGAGAGUGUCUUGCUGCCUCUUGGAGGCCACCAUCAUGACUAUGAACCAUACUGGGCAGAGGAAAUGGGUCAAGGUGGCCAGGGCAGCUGGGCCGGGCAGGGAGAGGACCUGGGCAUGGCAGAAGGAGGGGAAAAUAGACUGACUCGGCCUCAGGAGGUCAGAAGGAUGUUGGGCUGUGCUAAGUCUCAGAACAACACAGCUUGGGAGGCUCCUGGAGGCUUCAAGGUGAGGCCCAAGGCGAAGGCAGUGGAUGUUGAUUGUCAUUUCCAUUACUAGCCCAAUUAUUAGUCUGUCUUCCUGGUAAAAAUAUGUGGUUGGAAAUGCCAAACUGAGAAGCCCAUUUUUCCCCACUGGGGAUUGUCUGGGUUGGCAUGUACAUCCCAGUGACCAACGUGUCCAUGCUCAAGGAUAAUCUCUUGCCCUUUCCUGCCCCCUGACUAGGAUUUCUCCCCAGAGGAGGGGAGCUGAAGGACCCCCCAGGGAGGCUGUGCCUGUGGCUGUCAGCCUGAGAUGCCAGAGGCUUCCUUUGGAUUCUGUAAUCAGAGUAUUUUUCACUGGUGUCUGCAGUGAUCGCCAGGGAGCCUCUGUGUCCAGAGCCCAGUGGGAUCCUGCCCUAAUUCCCUCUCUCAUGGGGACUCAGCCAAUUCUCACCCCCAAUCUGAUUGUCACCAGUCUAGAUCAGCAUUGGAGGGAGGUGUGGGCAACUACAGCCCUUGCUGCUUCCAAGACAGACAUCAAUAGUUGAUUACCAAUCUUUCCCACUCCCUACUCUCCAGCACAAUGGACGUCACAGUCCUCAAAACCACUCCAAGAGCUGCCAAUCAAUCAUAUUCGCAUGUCAGCAAAACCUGUUUGACAUCCGUACACCUGUACCAGCCCUCUGGGAAAGCUCUCAAUUCUGGCCUCCUUUCCUUUUUUCUUUUUUUUUUUUGAAUGUAUGUUAAAAUUAGGAUGUUCCCAAUCAAAAAUCACUUUUCCUUCAUCUAGUACUUGGGUGAGACAAACUAGCCCCAGAAAGCAGACAAUGGGAUGAACUGCCAGGUAGGACUUUUAGGGGAGGCAAAAUGGAUUAGGAAAUGCUAAGUUCUCUGUUGAAGGAGGAUACCUGGAUUUUUUAGGCUUUCAGAGGUGGACGGCUUCCAUAGACUGUCUUGUUCCAACUUUGUACCCAUUUUACAGGUUAGGACUCUGAGCCCUCAGCAGUUCUUGUUUGGCCAGUGAGCUCAGGGAGUUAGUUCCAGGAGUGGGGGUCAGUCUCUGCACCCUCUGGAUGACAGGGUAACAUUGCUCAGCACUAGGCAGGGUUUAGUUGGAACUCCGCUGCUGAUGGGCUGUGUGACCUUGGGCCAGUUCCUUGCCACCUCCCUGCACCUAAUGAUAAGGAGGGAAGUCAGUCCUGGAACGUCUAGUGCUCCUUGAAAUAUUAGGUAUCCUAGGAGGGUGCGGGUGGGCUCACAUCUGGAAGAGAAAUUCCUAGAUUCAGCCACAAGUAACAGAAUCCCUCCUCCCCCGACCAACUUUGGCUUAAACCAAUGAGAGACUUUACUUUUCUCUCCUCCUGAGAAGUCUAGAGAUAGGUGGUUGCUGGCAUCAUCUCCUCAGCUUGUGGAUGUCAGAGCCAAGGCUUUGCAACUCUCUUUCCUUUCUAUCACAGUCACUUCAUGGCCCAGGAUGCUUGCUGUACCUCCAAUUUUUCAUCUGGGUUCCAGGCAGGAAGGAGGGGAGUGAGUUAGAUGAAUCUGCCCUCCUCAUGAGGAGUUUUCCCAGAAGCUCCGCCAGCCACUUCGGUUCUCAUCUCGUUGGCCAGGGUGGUGUCACAUGUUUUCCCCACAUCUGCAAGGAGUCUGGGAACAUGCACCCAAAAAGAUGGGGGCCUUCUAGUAAGAAUGAAGGGUAGGGUGGCUUGGAGUGGGACUUAGCUGUCUCUGCUACAGUUGGAGGAAGAAACCAGGGUUCGUCCUGACCCUCCAUGCCUUGGCCGUAUGCUCCUUAUGCGGAACUUGAAGGCAUCAUCCUUGCAGUGUGAGAGGGACCUGCCACCAUGGCCUGCCACCUCGUCUCAGGGGUCCCUGAGUCCUCCAGGUCUACCCAAAGGCAUUGUAGACAUUCUUCCUGCAAGACUUGGGAACCGACAAAUAGGUCUGCCCUGCUUGCCAGAGUUUUUGUGCAGGAACAGCCCCUCCCGUCUUUGUCCUGGCCGUGAGCACCCAGGGCUAAGCUUUUGAACACUUUCUUUGUGUUUGGAUUCAGCCCAGGCAAUGCAUAUUUGCUUUCAUUUCUUCUUGAGCUUGAGAAGCUCCUGGGUGCAAAUCUUGGAAAAUGAGGAUCUCUGAGCCUUUCCAGGCCAGCCCUUUGUUUUCUAGCAGACAAUUGAGGCUUUGAAAGGGAAAGUGGGUGCGGGCACCCCACAGGUGGCCCUCAUCACCCAAAUGCCAGUGCCUGCAGGCUCCUUCAGCAGAGGCCCAGAGUCAAAGAGGACUUAAAACCAGCUGUCAUUUCUCUCUUAGCUUCUGUGUAUGAGAGAAACGCCUUCUGUUUUUCAAAGUAAGAACAAGGAGGAAUUUGUUUCUAAAAGAACAGUAAAACACAGGCUCGGGGUUUAAAAGCAAAUGGUUCAGCAGGAUGUUCAGGGCCUUAAAAGAGUCAGCAGGACUCAGCAUCUCCCAGUGCCUGCUCUCCAGUUGUCAUGGUAACACCAUCCCCAACCCAACCACCUCGUCCAGCCGGGAGACAGCAAUCACAAGGAGGGACCUCGGUUUCCCCCGAGGAUCCUGGGCUUCCUUUCUGAAACGCUUGCUUCUGAGCUCAGCAACCAGGAACACCUGGCCAGCCCAUCCCCAGCACCUCUGUGGAGAUGAGGGACAAAGUCCUGCAGACCCUCUUCCUGUUCGGAUGAGAAAGGGAGGGAAGGAGACAUACCCCGAGGGCCUGCAAUAUGGUCAUGACACUUUCAAAAAGCCUGUGCUAUGGGGUCAUGAUCAGAAACCAGGUGCAGAAACCAGAGUGCGGAGGGUCAGCAGCCUGCCUCAGAGCAGCCAGCUAGGGGGUGAGUGGUAAAUGCGCGACUUGUACCCAGGCACGACUGGCCCAACGCUCCACUCUAUGGAAUGUUCUCUGGGCCUCAGUUGCUUUCCUUUCCUUUGCAGGCUGCGGGCUGCUGUCACUCUGGCAGCUGGUGAGCCAGCUGGAGGGCGACAUUCCAAAGCAGGGGCAGUAGGGCUUUCCUCCUGUGCCCACUCCCGCGGGGAAGUCUGUUGACUCCUACCGCUGAUGGGAGCUGGCAACAUCAGGAUGAGGUCUCAGGGGAUGGGAGCAGGUACCCGCUGUCUGUCUACCUUCCCACUGGAAAAGCACGGACAGGCCAGCGCUUGGGGGGACAGGCAGAGGGCAGAGUUGGCUUUGCACGGUCUCUGCCUGCUGAGCAGCUCCAAUUCCUCUCAUGGGAGAAACAAGGAGGCAGUCACUUGUGCAUACUCCAGAAGUUUUACUGGGGAGGAGGAAGUGGACAGAGAAAGCUGUGUGUGUGCGUAUGAAGGGGUCGGCGACGUGGGAGGGAUGCACGCGUAUGUGAGCAUAGCAUGUGCGGGUACUACACAUACAUCUCCAUGCAGAAACACCCCUGGGCAGCCUUGGCUUCCAGCAUUGGGCUUCAGCACAACAGACCCCAGCCUGUGGUCUCUCUGAACCCGGGGAGACUGCAUUGGGCUCAGGACGUUUUCCCCGAGGUCCAGAGUUUUAUGCCUCUCCCUGGCAUUCUCCAUAAAGAAGGGAAGGUCAGAUGACCCCUUAGAUCUGUGUCAUCUGGGAAUUGCCUUGGGCUGGUUUAAAAACGAUGCCCUCUCUUUUUCUCAGGAUAGCAGAUAACCUGCUGUGAAAGAGGGCUUAAUUCUAUGGGUCCUAAAUUUUCUCCUUUCUCUCUCUCGUUCUGUGUGUGUGUGUGUUACGAAAAAUGGCAAGUUUCCAAUACCAGCUUUGGAGGAAUGAUUAUGUUUUCCCUCCAUUUCAAGUCCAAAAGACCAGAGCCCUCAUUCCAAAGGGCAUCCACCCAGAUAGAUUUUUUAGUUUCAUUUGUCAUCCCUCCCAUGGGAGGGCCCCAUGUCUCCUCAGAAACCAUCCUGGGCUGGGCGCCGUGGCUCACGCCUGUAAUCCUAGAACUUUGGGAGGCCGAGGCAGGCGGAUCACGAGGUCAGGAGAUCGAGACCAUCCUGGUUAAUACGGUGAAAUCCCGUCUCUACUAAA